This 72-nucleotide transfer RNA is filed under the name Marmota monax (woodchuck). RNAcentral describes it as "tRNA.Val". The record is from RNAcentral. Lineage: Eukaryota; Metazoa; Chordata; Mammalia; Rodentia; Sciuridae.
UGAGGUGCAGCUCAGUGGUAAGCUACUUGCCUAACAUGUAAGAGACCCUUAGUUUAAUCCCCAGCACCUUAA